RNAcentral lists this ribosomal RNA (1341 nucleotides) under metagenome. Its description in RNAcentral is "bacterial LSU rRNA". It matches the Rfam family "Bacterial large subunit ribosomal RNA", at positions 1568 to 2925 of the family's 2925-position model. The record is from RNAcentral.
UACGAGCUGCUACGGCAGCGAAGUGGGUGAUGUCAAGCUUCCAAGAAAAGCCCUAUACCCGUUAAGGCAUGACGGCCUGUACCCGAAACCGACACAGGUGGGGUGGUAGAGAAUACCGAGGGGCGCGAGAUAACUCUCUCUAAGGAACUCGGCAAAAUGGCCCCGUAACUUCGGGAGAAGGGGUGCCACCGCAAGGUGGUCGCAGUGAAGAGGCCCAGGCGACUGUUUACCAAAAACACAGGUCUCCGCUAAGUCGCAAGACGAUGUAUGGGGGCUGACGCCUGCCCAGUGCCGGAAGGUUAAGGAAGCUGGUCAGCGCAAGCGAAGCUAGCGACUGAAGCCCCGGUGAACGGCGGCCGUAACUAUAACGGUCCUAAGGUAGCGAAAUUCCUUGUCGGGUAAGUUCUGACCCGCACGAAAGGCGUAACGAUCUGGGCGCUGUCUCGGAGAGAGGCUCGGCGAAAUAGAAUUGUCUGUGAAGAUGCGGACUACGUGCACCCGGACAGAAAGACCCUAUGAAGCUUUACUGUAGCUUGGUAUUGUGCCAGGGCUCUGAAUGCGCAGGAUAGGUGGGAGGCUUUGAUCCAUUGCUUGUGGGUAAUGGUGAGCCACUGGUGAGAUACCACUCUUUCAGAGCUAGGGUUCUAACGGUCACCCGUUAUCCGGGGACCGGACAGUAUCAGGUGGGCAGUUUGACUGGGGCGGUCGCCUCCUAAAAGGUAACGGAGGCGCGCAAAGGUUCCCUCAGGCUGGUUGGAAAUCAGCCGACGAGUGUAAAGGCAGAAGGGAGCUUGACUGUGAGACCUACAAGUCGAACAGGGACGAAAGUCGGCCUUAGUGAUCCGACGGUUCUGAGUGGAAGGGCCGUCGCUCAACGGAUAAAAGUUACUCUAGGAUAACAGGCUGAUCUCCCCCAAGAGUUCACAUCGACGGGGAGGUUUGGCACCUCGAUGUCGGCUCAUCGCAACCUGGGGCUGAAGUCGGUCCCAAGGGUUGGGCUGUUCGCCCAUUAAAGCGGUACGCGAGCUGGGCUCAGAACGUCGUGAGACAGUUCGGUCCAUAUCCGGUGCACGCGCAGGAACAUUGAGAGGAUUUCUCCCUAGUACGAGAGGACCGGGAGGAACGCACCUCUGGUGUACCAGUUAUCGUGCCAACGGUAAACGCUGGGUAGCCGUGUGCGGAGCGGAUAACCGCUGAAAGCAUCUAAGUGGGAAGCCCACCUCAAGAUGAGUGUUCCCAUGGCAUAAGCCAGUAAGGUCACGGGAAGAACACCCGUUGAUAGGCUCUACGUGGAAGCGUGGCAACACGUGAAGCGGAGGAGUACUAAUAGACCGAGGGCUU